Tupaia belangeri chinensis (Chinese tree shrew) is the source of this 700-nucleotide long non-coding RNA. RefSeq lists it as uncharacterized. The transcript is spliced from 3 exons. The record is from RefSeq and is a predicted model, not a curated record. NCBI's taxonomy places the organism in Eukaryota, Metazoa, Chordata, Mammalia, Scandentia, Tupaiidae.
UGGAGGACAGGGACCGGCACUUCCAUUCUGGGCAUCUGGCACGGUGCUGGCACACAAUAAAUACUCAAUGCGUUUUUGUUGACUGAAUCAAGGAACGAGAGUGUGCGUGUGUGGCAGAGGGAACAAGAGAGACGAGACGAGCACACACGGUAAUAAUUCAAAGGUAAAUGCAAACGCCAUCGUCGAGGAUGAACGUAAGCCCCAGCAGUGCGGAGUGAGAGAAUAAAGUGAGGAGGCACUCCCCAGGACGGAUGGCCACAGUGCAGUCCCUUACAAGUCUCCCCUCAGGAUUCUGAGCACACACACACCUACUCGUGUGUGUACUACACUCCAUGAGCUUCCUGAAAGUAAACCAACGGUCCUCACACAUGGAGCAGGGAGAGCAUGAAGAUCGUUAACAGGAGAAACCGUCACUGCGGAGAAGACCCGUCAGCUCCUGCAGCCUGGGCAGCAGUACCACCACCCUCCCAGGCGCUGAGACCGGACAGAGAAGCUGAGAAAAGGGAACUGGUGGCCUGAGGAGGAAGAGGAAGCAGAGUGUGGAAACCAGCAUCCCUGCUGGUCCUCACAGCCAGAGGUCUAGGCCCCCCACGAUGGCUGACAGAGGCAGAGAAAAGGCUUUGUUCGAGACUGCACUGAGCUAGCCAUUUGACCUCUCUAAGUCUUCAUUUUAUAGGAUGCAUCCACUCACGAUAGAGAC